Long non-coding RNA from Cyprinus carpio (common carp), 257 nucleotides. RefSeq lists it as uncharacterized. The transcript has 4 exons. The record is from RefSeq and is a predicted model, not a curated record. NCBI's taxonomy places the organism in Eukaryota, Metazoa, Chordata, Actinopteri, Cypriniformes, Cyprinidae.
CUGGAUUUGGUGGCUCACCAGGCCUCCCAGGCAUUAGGGGUCUCCCUGGUUAUCAAGGACAGAAGGGCGUGAUGGAGAUUUAGGCCGCCCUGGAGCCCAGGUUCACCAGGAGAGAAAGGUUUUCCAGGAUCACCUGGUUUAAAUGGACUCAAUGGUCUUCCAGGAUCCAAGGGGUUGUCUGGAGUUCCAGGUGUGAGUGAAGGUGGUCGGACUGGAGCUCCUGGUGUGAAUGGCCUGAAGGGAGAGAGAGAGGCUCA